AAGGCCUUCGGGUUGUAAAGCUCUUUCGGUGGGAACGAAAAGGUACAGGCGAAUAACCUGCGCUAAUGACGGUACCCAAAGAAGAAGCACCGGCUAACUACGUGC
RNAcentral lists this ribosomal RNA (105 nucleotides) under uncultured bacterium. RNAcentral's name for it is "partial 16S ribosomal RNA". The record is from RNAcentral.